Molecule: ribosomal RNA, 542 nt
Filed under: Tremella flava
Lineage: Eukaryota; Fungi; Basidiomycota; Tremellomycetes; Tremellales; Tremellaceae
Description: LSU rRNA
Rfam family: Eukaryotic large subunit ribosomal RNA
Source: RNAcentral
AGCGAACCGGGAAGAGCUCAAAUUUGUAAUCUGGCGCCCCUCGGGCUCAGAGUUGUAAUCUACAGAGGCGUUUUCCGUGCCGGCCCGUGCCCAACUUUGCUUGGAACAGUGAGAUCAAAGAGGGUGAAAAUCCCGUACUUGACACGACCGCCGGUGCUAUGUGAUACGUCUUCUAAGAGUCGAGUUGUUUGGGAAUGCAGCUCAAAACGGGUGGUAAAUUCCAUCUAAGGCUAAAUAUUGGCGAGAGACCGAUAGCGAACAAGUACCGUGAGGGAAAGAUGAAAAGCACUUUGGAAAGAGAGUUAAACAGCACGUGAAAUUGUUGAAAGGGAAACGAUUGAAGUCAGUCGUGUCCGAGGGGUUCAGCCGGUCCUGCCGGUGCAUUCCUCUCGGACGGGUCAACAUCGGUUUUGUCCGGCGGACAAGGGCAUGGGGAAAGUGGCACCUUCGGGUGUGUUAUAGCCCCGUGUCGCAUACGUCGGACGAGACCGAGGAACGCAGCUCGCCUCACGGCCGGGGUUCGCCCCACGUACGAGCUUAGG